UGCCCCUCUGGGCUCUUAGAACUGUGUUCCCAGACUCUAAAUCCUCCCGGGAUCUUAGGCUCUUCCAGCACAGAGCUUCUCUUUCUCUUCAUUCUCUUGCCUUUCUUUGUGUAGAACCGUGGCCAAAGAAUGACCUUGGAAGUUCAUGCCAUCCGCCCCCUGGCUCUGGGCUGGGCAGUGGAGAGAGAGGGAGGCCCAUCAAGUGAGACCUUCGUGGGGGUGUUGAACUGGAAUCUUCCCUUGGCGAGGACUCGUCCCCUGAAUGGUCUGGGCUCUCAUGUUACCCCUGUCACCUUGUGCUAGGACUGCGUUCUCAUCAAAGACAAAGGCGCCUGUGUUCCCAGGAUCUGUUUUCAGCCGCGCAGGAGCUGGGAUAAUAGCCUGCAGGACUCACCCAAACUUCUGCACGUGGCAGCUUUUCAGGCCCCGAUGGCUAGCCAUCCCCCUCUGCAUUGGUCCAGCCAUCUUGAACUCUCUCCUCACCUUGAACCUGUUUCACUUACUCAUGCCUCCCGAUCUGCGCGGGCUUGCUCCUCUCUGCCUCUUCGUCAUGAUGCAAACUCUUACCCAUCCA
This is a long non-coding RNA of Suricata suricatta (meerkat), 574 nucleotides long. RefSeq lists it as uncharacterized. Lineage: Eukaryota; Metazoa; Chordata; Mammalia; Carnivora; Herpestidae. The transcript has 2 exons. The record is from RefSeq and is a predicted model, not a curated record.